GAUGAACGCUGGCGGCGUGCCUAAUACAUGCAAGUCGAACGCUGAAGGAAGGAGGUUGCUCUUUCCGGUUGAGUGGCGCACGGGUGAGUAACGCGUAGGGAACCUGCCUGGUAGCGGGGGAUAACUAUUGGAAACGGUAGCUAAUACCGCAUAACAGUAGCUGUUGCAUGAUGUCUACUUAAAAGGUGCAUUGGCACCACUACCAGCUGGACGUGCGUUGUAUUAGCUAGUGGGUGGGGUAACGGCACACCAAGGCGACGAGACUUAGCGGCCCUGAGAGGUGGACCGCCCACACGGGACCUAGACCCGGCUCCGACCUCCUCCGGAAGCAGCAAGAGGGGAACUUUGGCCAAUGGCGGCAGUCCGACCGCACCCAGGCGGGGGGGUGGAGAAAGUUCUCGGAGUUUUAAAGUCCGUUGAACGGGAAGAAAGAGUGUGAGAGUGGAAAGUUCGCACUGUGACGUUACCUGACCAGAAAGCGACGGCUAACUACGUG
RNAcentral lists this ribosomal RNA (496 nucleotides) under uncultured bacterium. RNAcentral's name for it is "partial 16S ribosomal RNA". It matches the Rfam family "Bacterial small subunit ribosomal RNA", at positions 28 to 507 of the family's 1533-position model. The record is from RNAcentral.